Molecule: unclassified non-coding RNA, 253 nt
Filed under: uncultured Pseudobdellovibrionaceae bacterium
Lineage: Bacteria; Pseudomonadati; Bdellovibrionota; Bdellovibrionia; Bdellovibrionales; Pseudobdellovibrionaceae
Description: uncultured Bdellovibrionaceae bacterium contains 16S-23S intergenic spacer region
Rfam family: Bacterial small subunit ribosomal RNA
Source: RNAcentral
UACGGAGGGCGCAAGCGUUGCUCGGAAUCACUGGGCGUAAAGCGUACGCAGGCGGGACGUCAAGUCGGAUGUGAAAGCCCAGGGCUCAACCCUGGAACUGCAUUCGAAACUGGCGACCUUGAGUACGGGAGAGGGAAGCGGAAUUCCUGGUGUAGAGGUGAAAUUCGUAGAUAUCAGGAGGAACACCGGUGGCGAAAGCGGCUUCCUGGCCCGAUACUGACGCUCAUGUACGAAAGCGUGGGGAGCAAACAGG